Molecule: long non-coding RNA, 1106 nt
Organism: Canis lupus familiaris (dog)
Lineage: Eukaryota; Metazoa; Chordata; Mammalia; Carnivora; Canidae
Exons: 3
Source: RefSeq, a predicted model, not a curated record
UUCCUUCCACGUACUGCACCUGAGCUGGGUAGACAUGCUGUACCUGUGGCACAGUCUGUACUUGCUGUACCUGCAAAACAAAUAUUAGGAUCGUGUUGAGAAAGAGAUAGGACAGGAUACACAACAUUAGAUUUGCUUCAAAGACUUCUCCAGGGGGUUGAAAACUAUGGGAUUCAUGCAAAUUUCAAGAUAAAGUGCAUAUUGGAUCCAAAUUAGCGUAGCAAGUAUGCUGAACAAAUUCUCUACCAUUUGGGAAUGCCGUUUCUGCAGAUGCAUAGGGAUACACAGACUCCCAAAUAUUUGGGGUGAAAAUUCUGAAAGCUCCUCACUUAUUCUGAUGGUUUACAAAAUUCUCUUCACGUGGCCUGUUAAAGAAUCUCUGGAAUUCUAGAGUUGGCUGAUAGCAUCCCUGAGAUGUCAUUUUAACUACUUGAAGUCCAUCUUAUCAUCUGAGACCACUUCAAAUCACUUCACAUCCCAACAGAAUACAUGUGGCAUGCUUCUGGCCCCUAGAUCAGUCCAGAAACUACUAAAUAAUGAGAAGGAAUUCCAGUCUUAAUUUUCUAGGUGGUUGUGGCCAAGCUGCUUCAUUUUUCUGGAUCUCAGUUUCCUCAACCUUAAAAUGAGAAAGUCAAAGCAGGGGUGCCUAGAAUAUUUUUUGAAUCUAAGAGGGAAGAAAACUCUGACAUAUGCUCAAUGUGGAUCACCUUGAGGAUAUGAGGUUAAGUGAAAUAAACCAAUGAGAAGAAGACAAAUACUAUAUGAUUGCUCUUAUGUGGGGACCUUGAGCAGUUAGAUUCAUAGGCACAGAAAGCAAAACAGAGGUUACCAGGGGAAAGGGGGAGUUGUUUAACAGAUACUGAGUUUCAGUUUUGCAAGAGGACUUCUGGAGACUGGAUGCACAACAAUGUGAAUAACUUAGCAAUAUUGAACUGAACAUUUAAAAAUGGUUAAGAUGGCCAAUUUUUUGUUAUGCUUGUUUUUCCACAAACUAAAUUUUUAAAAAUACAGGUUUAAAAAAACCCAUAGGACUAGAUGACAUUUAAGAUCUCUUUCAGGGGAUCCCUGGGUGGCGCAGCGGUUUGGCGCCUGCCUUUGGCCCAGGG